RNAcentral lists this transfer RNA (74 nucleotides) under Bacteroidota bacterium. RNAcentral's name for it is "Bacteroidetes bacterium tRNA-Lys". It matches the Rfam family "tRNA". Rfam says of the family: Transfer RNA (tRNA) molecules are approximately 80 nucleotides in length. Their secondary structure includes four short double-helical elements and three loops (D, anti-codon, and T loops). Further hydrogen bonds mediate the characteristic L-shaped molecular structure. tRNAs have two regions of fundamental functional importance: the anti-codon, which is responsible for specific mRNA codon recognition, and the 3' end, to which the tRNAs corresponding amino acid is attached (by aminoacyl-tRNA synthetases). tRNAs cope with the degeneracy of the genetic code in two manners: having more than one tRNA (with a specific anti-codon) for a particular amino acid; and 'wobble' base-pairing, i.e. permitting non-standard base-pairing at the 3rd anti-codon position. The record is from RNAcentral. RNAcentral also lists the same sequence under 3 other names. Lineage: Bacteria; Pseudomonadati; Bacteroidota.
GACUUGGUAGCUCAGCUGGUUAGAGCAUCUCACUUUUAAUGAGAGGGUCCUGGGUUCGAGUCCCAGCCAGGUCA